This 399-nucleotide unclassified non-coding RNA is filed under the name soil metagenome. Its description in RNAcentral is "partial contains 5.8S ribosomal RNA, internal transcribed spacer 2, and large subunit ribosomal RNA". The stretch from base 1 to 122 matches the Rfam family "5.8S ribosomal RNA", at positions 35 to 154 of the family's 154-position model. The record is from RNAcentral.
GAUGAAGAACGUAGCGAAAUGCGAUACUUGGUGUGAAUUGCAGAAUCCCGUGAACCAUCGAGUCUUUGAACGCAAGUUGCGCCUCAAGCCAUUAGGUUGAGGGCACGUCUGCCUGGGCGUCACAUAUCGUUGCCUGAUGCCAGUUUCCUCGUGAUGGGUGACUGUGCAGGGCGAAUGAUGGCUUCCCGUGAGCAUUGUUGCCUCAUGGUUGGUUGAAAAUUGAGUCCUUGGUAGGGAGCGCCGUGAUAGAUGGUGGUUGAGUGACGAACGAGACCCAAUCAUGUGAGACCCCUACCGAAUUUGGCCUUCAUGACCCACAUGCGUCUUUGGAACGCUCAUGACGAGACCUCAGGUCAGGCGGGGCUACCCGCUGAGUUUAAGCAUAUCAAUAGCGGAGGA